UUGCUCCCUGAUGUUAGCGGCGGACGGGUGAGUAACACGUGGGUAACCUGCCUGUAAGACUGGGAUAACUCCGGGAAACCGGGGCUAAUACCGGAUGCUUGUUUGAACCGCAUGGUUCAAACAUAAAAGGUGGCUUCGGCUACCACUUACAGAUGGACCCGCGGCGCAUUAGCUAGUUGGUGAGGUAACGGCUCACCAAGGCAACGAUGCGUAGCCGACCUGAGAGGGUGAUCGGCCACACUGGGACUGAGACACGGCCCAGACUCCUACGGGAGGCAGCAGUAGGGAAUCUUCCGCAAUGGACGAAAGUCUGACGGAGCAACGCCGCGUGAGUGAUGAAGGUUUUCGGAUCGUAAAGCUCUGUUGUUAGGGAAGAACAAGUACCGUUCGAAUAGGGCGGUACCUUGACGGUACCUAACCAGAAAGCCACGGCUAACUACGUGCCAGCAGCCGCGGUAAUACGUAGGUGGCAAGCGUUGUCCGGAAUUAUUGGGCGUAAAGGGCUCGCAGGCGGUUUCUUAAGUCUGAUGUGAAAGCCCCCGGCUCAACCGGGGAGGGUCAUUGGAAACUGGGGAACUUGAGUGCAGAAGAGGAGAGUGGAAUUCCACGUGUAGCGGUGAAAUGCGUAGAGAUGUGGAGGAACACCAGUGGCGAAGGCGACUCUCUGGUCUGUAACUGACGCUGAGGAGCGAAAGCGUGGGGAGCGAACAGGAUUAGAUACCCUGGUAGUCCACGCCGUAAACGAUGAGUGCUAAGUGUUAGGGGGUUUCCGCCCCUUAGUGCUGCAGCUAACGCAUUAAGCACUCCGCCUGGGGAGUACGGUCGCAAGACUGAAACUCAAAGGAAUUGACGGGGGCCCGCACAAGCGGUGGAGCAUGUGGUUUAAUUCGAAGCAACGCGAAGAACCUUACCAGGUCUUGACAUCCUCUGACAAUCCUAGAGAUAGGACGUCCCCUUCGGGGGCAGAGUGACAGGUGGUGCAUGGUUGUCGUCAGCUCGUGUCGUGAGAUGUUGGGUUAAGUCCCGCAACGAGCGCAACCCUUGAUCUUAGUUGCCAGCAUUCAGUUGGGCACUCUAAGGUGACUGCCGGUGACAAACCGGAGGAAGGUGGGGAUGACGUCAAAUCAUCAUGCCCCUUAUGACCUGGGCUACACACGUGCUACAAUGGACAGAACAAAGGGCAGCGAAACCGCGAGGUUAAGCCAAUCCCACAAAUCUGUUCUCAGUUCGGAUCGCAGUCUGCAACUCGACUGCGUGAAGCUGGAAUCG
Molecule: ribosomal RNA, 1269 nt
Filed under: Bacillus subtilis
Lineage: Bacteria; Bacillati; Bacillota; Bacilli; Caryophanales; Bacillaceae
Description: bacterial SSU rRNA
Rfam family: Bacterial small subunit ribosomal RNA
Source: RNAcentral